This 611-nucleotide long non-coding RNA is filed under the name Nicotiana tabacum (common tobacco). RNAcentral describes it as "long non-coding RNA (NTAB_LNC009179)". Lineage: Eukaryota; Viridiplantae; Streptophyta; Magnoliopsida; Solanales; Solanaceae. The record is from RNAcentral.
GGGAAUACUUUCUGUUCUAGGUCGCCCACCAGUAAAAUGCGGGAAUACUUUCUGUUCUAGGUCGCCCACCAGUAAAAUGCGGGAAUACUUUCUGUUCUAGGUCGCCCACCAGUAAAAUGCGGGAAUACUUUCUGUUUUAGGUCGCCCACCAGUAAAAUGCGGGAAUACUUUCUGUUCUAGGUCACCCACCAGUAAAAUGCGGGAAUACUUUAUGUUCUAGGUCGCCCACCAGUAAAAUGCGGGAAUACUUUCUGUUCUAGGUCGCCCACUAAAUGCGGGAAUACUUUCUGUUCUAGGUCGCCCACCAGUAAAAUGCGGGAAUACUUUCUGUUCUGGUCGCCCACCAGUAAAAUGCGGGAAUACUUUCUGUUCUAGGUCGCCCACCAGUAAAAUGCGGGAAUACUUUCUGUUCUAGGUCGCCCACCAGUAAAAUGCAGGAAUACUUUCUGUUCUAGGUCCCCACCAGUAUAACGCGGGAAUACAUUCAUGUUUUACAUUCAGGCGCCCACCUGUCCAACAAGAGGAACACCUUUUAGUCUUACGCUGCAGAUUUUGAAAUCAGUAACCCCACUGGAAGGUAGAAGGUUACAACAGGAAUUACCAAGCAGGAA